This 1143-nucleotide unclassified non-coding RNA is filed under the name Hevea brasiliensis (rubber tree). The record is from RNAcentral. Lineage: Eukaryota; Viridiplantae; Streptophyta; Magnoliopsida; Malpighiales; Euphorbiaceae.
GGCAAAUCCAUCGGCUCCUCGCCUCUCACUCUGGCCUUGAUUCCACAGUCUCAGGUGUAUUAUAGCUCGCCAUCGUUGAAAAUCAAAUAGCCAGCCAGCAGCCCCGCCUUUGACUCCAUUCAUUACCUACUCUGCCUCUGCAGCUUUCAAUCACCGGAAACAACUGCUUUUGCCUCCAAAAAUGGCCUCUCUCCACCUCAACUUCCCCUCUUCUUCUCCUCCUUCACCACUCCUCCGUUCUCCUCUUCCUUGUAAACUCAAAACAUCCCUCCUUUAUCUUCCUCUUUUUAGUCCUACUGCCUCUAGGUCUCUCUCUCUCCGCUUCCGCUCCAAUCAUCGCCUCCCCGGCCGCUCUUUUCAUCUGGUUUCUGCCGCCCUCUCAGCUGUUGACUCGCCAGAGACUACCAGUUCUGACGGCAGUGAUUCUGAGAAGAAACCGCUGCUUGAGGUUAAAAAUUUAACGGCAGUCAUUGCUGAAACCAAUCAGGAGAUUCUUAAGGGAGUAAAUCUUGUUGUCCAUGAAGGAGAGGUUCAUGCGGUUAUGGGAAAGAACGGUUCUGGGAAGAGCACAUUUUCUAAGGUGCUGGUUGGUCAUCCAGAUUAUGAAGUGACUGGAGGCAGUGUUAUGUUUAAAGGGGAGAACUUGCUUGACAUGGAACCAGAGGAAAGGUCUCUUGCUGGGCUUUUUAUGAGCUUCCAAUCGCCAGUUGAGAUCCCAGGAGUGAACAAUAUUGACUUUCUUAAUAUGGCAUACAAUGCUCGCAGAAGAAAACUUGCUCUGCCAGAGCUUGGACCAAUUGAGUUCUAUGCUUACCUGUUUCCGAAACUUGAGCUUGUGAACAUGAAGAGUGACUUUCUUAACAGAAAUGUAAAUGAAGGAUUUAGUGGUGGUGAAAGGAAGCGCAAUGAGAUUUUGCAACUUGCGGUUCUGGGUGCAGACAUGGCAAUAUUAGAUGAAAUUGAUUCUGGCUUGGAUAUCGAUGCACUCAAAGAUGUUGCAAAAGCAGUGAAUGGGAUCUUGACUUCAAAGAACUCUGUUUUGAUGAUUACCCAUUAUCUACGACUUUUGGAAUUCAUUCAGCCGACAUAUAUCCAUAUCAUGGAGGAUGGGAGGAUUGUAAAGACGGGGGAUAUCUCUAUUGC